RNAcentral lists this microRNA precursor (126 nucleotides) under Myotis davidii. Its description in RNAcentral is "mir-9193 microRNA precursor family". It matches the Rfam family "mir-9193 microRNA precursor family". The record is from Rfam by way of RNAcentral. Lineage: Eukaryota; Metazoa; Chordata; Mammalia; Chiroptera; Vespertilionidae.
CAUGCACUGGUGGGGUCCCUCGGCCUGGCCUGCACCCUCUCACAAUCCAAGACCCCUCAGGGGAUGUCAGAGAGCUGGUUUCAACCCGAUCCCGCAGGCCAGGCUGAGGGACCCCACUAGUGCAUG